Molecule: long non-coding RNA, 543 nt
Filed under: Homo sapiens (human)
Lineage: Eukaryota; Metazoa; Chordata; Mammalia; Primates; Hominidae
Description: PREDICTED lncRNA (TCONS_00261067)
Source: RNAcentral
GGGGACAAAUGCAACUUUUGCAACCUACCUUUGAAGACCCCAUCAGCUUAAGGUUCCACUCUUGGAGUAAAUGGAGAAAUUUAUAACUGCGCGAUAACACCGCCCUGACCUUCUCUACUCAGCGUGAGAAUUAAUUACCUGAGGCCAGUCCUAUGGAACAUUGUGAAGGCACGAUUCAAAGACGCCAGCCAACCAUCUGGCACUUGAAAGAGGCUAAGAAAGCCAGUUCCAUGGACUCUCCCCAUCAUGGCAUCGGCGGUGAGGAAGAACACUCCUAAAAGAGUGGGGGCCUGUACUGGCAGCCUAGGGCUUAUCUGCAGGAUGGAAAAGCUUCCAGGACAUAAGCCCAUCACAGGGCUUACCCAGCUGCCUUUGAGAAAUGUUUGGGGUCACAUUGGCUAAAAUUAAGUACUUUGUGGUGAACUGGAUUUGACUGGAACUAAAGGAUCGACUUCCAAGCUCACUCCUGUGGCUGUCGGCAGGAGGCUUCAGUUCCUUACCACAUAGACCUUUCCACAGCAUGAGGUGGGGACUCAGUGAAAC